CAGUAGCCACGGGAAUACGUAGGGUGCAAGCGUUGUCCGGAAUUAUUGGGCGUAAAGAGCUCGUAGGCGGUUUGUCGCGUCUGCUGUGAAAUCUGGGGGCUCAACCCCCAGCCGCAGUGGGUACGGGCAGACUAGAGUGCGGUAGGGGAGAUUGGAAUUCCUGGUGUAGCGGUGGAAUGCGCAGAUAUCAGGAGGAACACCGAUGGCGAAGGCAGAUCUCUGGGCCGUAACUGACGCUGAGGAGCGAAAGCAUGGGGAGCAAACAGGAUUAGAUACCCGCGUAGUCCCUGUCUCUUAUACA
This 301-nucleotide ribosomal RNA is filed under the name uncultured bacterium. RNAcentral's name for it is "partial 16S ribosomal RNA". It matches the Rfam family "Bacterial small subunit ribosomal RNA", at positions 509 to 808 of the family's 1533-position model. The record is from RNAcentral.